This 1533-nucleotide long non-coding RNA is filed under the name Ornithorhynchus anatinus (platypus). RNAcentral describes it as "lncRNA (ENSOANG00000039150.1)". The record is from RNAcentral. Lineage: Eukaryota; Metazoa; Chordata; Mammalia; Monotremata; Ornithorhynchidae.
GACCCGGAUGUAGGACCCGGAUGUGGCGGUUGGGCCGGCGUCCUCCGUUUCCAUGGAGACGGGCAAGAUGGCGGCCGGUCCGGCCUAGCCCGGCCUCCCCUGGCUGCAGCCCGACCCCGCGGCCUCCCCGACAGGGAUCCGACAUGGCCGAGGUGCGGAUCCGCCCGCCCGGCCUGGAGCCCGUCCCGAUACCCGCUCGGAGAAGCGCCAACACCGGCGGCGGCGGCGGCGACAACGGCCGAGGCGGCGGCGCUACCGGGGCCUGGGCCGCCGGGGCCGAGGUCAGUGUCGAUGGAGAGCGGGCGCCAUUUUGUGGCUCACUGCUUCUGCCCCUGGGGCUGAGGAAAAACAACUCUCUGAUGAAAAAUGGGUGUGUGUGUGUGUGUGUGUGAGAGAAAGAGAAAGAAUAAACGUCUGUGAGGAAAAUGGUGUGUGUCUCUGUGUGUGUCUGUGUGUGUUUGUGUAUGUGUCCCUCACAGCCUCACCUUCUACGCACUGGAGUGGGUGAGGAAAAGUAGGGCUGUGAGGAAAAAUUUAGUGUGUGUGUGUGUGUGUGUGUGUGUGUGUGUGUGCGCGCGCGCGAAAACAGGUCUGUGAGGAAAAAUGGUGUGUGUGUGUCUGUGUGUGUCCCUCCCGGGCUCACCUUCUGUACACUUUUGUGGGUGAGGAAAAGCAAGUCUGUGAGGAAAAAUGUAGUGUGUGUGUGUGUGUGUGUGUGUGUGUGUGUGAAAACAGGUCUGUGAGGAAAAAUGGUGUGUGUCUGUGUGUGUAAGAGAGAGAAAACAGGUCUGUGAGGAAAAAUGGUGUGUGUGUGUCUGUGUCUGUGUGUGUCCCUCCCGGGCUCACCCUCUACGCACUUUUGUGGGUGAGGAAAAGCAAGUCUGUGAUGAAAAAUGUAGUGUGUGUGUGUGUGUGUGUGUGUGUAAAACCAGGUCUUUGAGGAAGUCUAUGUGUGUGAGAGAGUGUGUGUGGAAAACAGGUCUGUGAGGAAAAUGGCAUGUGUGUAUAUGUCCCCCUCCUGAGCUCACCUGUGUACGUGUGUGUAAGGAAAACCAGGUCUGUGGGGAAAAAUGGUUUGGGGUGGAAAAACAGGACUGUGAGGAAAAAUGGUGUGUGUGUGUGGGGGGGAAACAGGUUUUUGAGGAAAAAUGGUGUGUAUGUGCCAAAACAGGUCUGUGAGGAAAAUGGUGUGUGUGUGUAUUUCCCCCUCCUGAGUUCACCUUCUAUGUAUGUAUGUGUGUGUAAAGAAAAACAGGUCUGUGAAGAAAAAUGGGGUGGGGGUGUGUGUGUGGAAAAGCAGGUCUGUGAGGAAAAAUGGUGUGUGUGUGGGUGUGUCAAAACAGGUCUGUGAGGAAAAUGCUGUGUGUGUGUCUCUGUGUGUGUGUGUGUGUGGAAAAGCAGGUCUGUGAGCAAAAAUGGUGUGUGUGGAGGUGUGUAAAAACAGGUCUGUGAGGAAAAUGCUGUGUGUGUGUCUGUGUGUGUGUGUGUGGAAAAGCAGGUCUGUGAGGAAAAAUGGUGUGUGUGUGGGUGUGU